RNAcentral lists this ribosomal RNA (375 nucleotides) under uncultured bacterium. Its description in RNAcentral is "bacterial SSU rRNA". It matches the Rfam family "Bacterial small subunit ribosomal RNA", at positions 523 to 898 of the family's 1533-position model. The record is from RNAcentral.
AUACGUAGGUGGCGAGCGUUGUCCGGAAUUACUGGGCGUAAAGGGUGCGUAGGCAGAUAAUCAAGUCAGAUGUGAAAGUCCAUGGCUCAACUGUGGGAGUGCAUUUGAGACUGAAGAUCUAGAGUGCAGGAGAGGGAAGCGGAAUUCCUAGUGUAGCGGUGAAAUGCGUAGAUAUUAGGAAGAACACCAGUGGCGAAGGCGGCUUUCUGGACUGUAACUGACGCUGAAGCACGAAAGCGGGGGGAGCAAACAGGAUGAGAUACCCUGGUAGUCCACGCUGUAAACGAUGAGUAUUAGGUGUAGGGGACGAUAGUCUUCUGUGCCGGAGCAAACGCAAUAAAUACUCCGCCUGGGGAGUACGGUCACAAGACUAAA